Molecule: long non-coding RNA, 502 nt
Organism: Heterocephalus glaber (naked mole-rat)
Lineage: Eukaryota; Metazoa; Chordata; Mammalia; Rodentia; Bathyergidae
Source: Ensembl
AUGUCGGGAGUUCUCAUCCCCAUUGGGCCAGUGCAGGAAGGGACGGGAUGAAGAGGUGUGGGUUCUGUCCUCGAAGGGGCGCUGAGCAGUGAACCACGAUGCGUGGCCCUGUAUCCUCAUGGGGCUGGUAUUCCUGUGCCGCCGUUCGUGACCCACACCUGCUACCGGUCCUGCUACACAGGAGCACUCGCUCAGAGGUGUGAUCACCGGACAGUGUGCUGAACAGCUGUACGAACCAGAUGGAAUUGCUCACGUCAACCCCGACAAGAAUCUCCCCUGCCUCAGCCCUUCUGCACACACCAUAGUUUACUGUCAUGCUGUUUACCUGACGGACAUCAGCAUUCUUCGGAGAAUCUAUCUAGGCUGGUGGUGGCGAACCUAUGACAUGCAUGUUUCUAAGGCAAAAGAUGUUAAUAUAUGAGUUGUUCUCUCUACACUUAAACCUGCGUUCAGGUUUAAUUGCAGUGUGGCACUGUGCGAUAGACAAGUGGGUUUUGGGUUG